Molecule: unclassified non-coding RNA, 717 nt
Filed under: Hevea brasiliensis (rubber tree)
Lineage: Eukaryota; Viridiplantae; Streptophyta; Magnoliopsida; Malpighiales; Euphorbiaceae
Source: RNAcentral
AACUCGAACCCUAUUAUAUACUAUUAAAAUUCAUCAUAUUAGAUUCAAUUGAAUCAGAUACCCGCAAAAACUUACCCUGUUAUUUCUCAAAACUUUGUUCUUUCAGUUUCAAAUUUAAGCCCCUGAAUCCUCCUAAACCCUAUCUUUUCUGUUUUCUUUUCUCUUUCUCCUUUCUUUCUGGGUGCCCUCUCUUUCUCAUAACUAGCAAGUCCCAUCUUCAAUUGAAAUGAAACUCUCCAUUAUCUCCAUUGAUAAUAUCAUUGUACUCAUGAAAUUCUCCAUUGAUGGGUGAGUGGGAAAAAGAGAGAGUGGCAUGAAUGUAACUCAUGAAUUUAAUUUAAAAACAAAUUUCAAUGCAUGUAAUUACCAUAUUUAAGGUGAUGAAAACUCAAAACACCACCCUAAUCAUCAUAAUUCUUCCCUUAUCAAAAUUACCAAGCAGACUUUCUUCACAGCUAAUCCAAUCUAAACAAUCACGUUUCACAAGGGCACUAUUUGUCAUGAGGAAGCUGACAUUAGCUGCAGCCCAAAUGAACAUUCAUUUGGCUGGUUAGAAAUCCUGUUGACUUUCAUUCUAAAGAAAAUAAAUAUCCUUCAAGUAACAAAAUUCUGAAACCAUCAGAAUUGCAAAAGUUUCACCAUGUUUAGACACCAAUAAAUAGUUUAAGAAAGCAGUAUGACAACAAAACCAGAUUUUUGAUAUUUUGUUUCUUUGUU